Molecule: long non-coding RNA, 214 nt
Filed under: Elaeis guineensis (African oil palm)
Lineage: Eukaryota; Viridiplantae; Streptophyta; Magnoliopsida; Arecales; Arecaceae
Description: long non-coding RNA (EGUI_LNC081594)
Source: RNAcentral
GCAUCAAAGCACAGUGAGUUGCUUGCAAAUCACCGUGGUGAUCUCAGGUCGGAGGGACACUUAUACCUUUUGGCCUUAGCUAGCCACUCUUGACAAUAGAGUGUUACAUUGGUCAUGUUCAGUACAGAAGUACUCCUAUAUCUCACCUGGAUGCCAUACUAGUGUCUCCACACCACUUGGUUAUGAGGACAACCAACGUAUAUGGCAUACAGUG